This 3009-nucleotide long non-coding RNA is filed under the name Salvia miltiorrhiza (redroot sage). RNAcentral describes it as "long non-coding RNA (SMIL_LNC007556)". Lineage: Eukaryota; Viridiplantae; Streptophyta; Magnoliopsida; Lamiales; Lamiaceae. The record is from RNAcentral.
GGGGACGGAGGGAGGAGUGAGAGCAGCCGACGGCUGCUCAGGGCCGGCGACGGCGACGGCGACGGCUCGGCGGCAAGCCGCCGCCUUUUCUUUUUUCUGUCAGACAUUGGGAGGAGAGGAGAAAGAUUAAUUGAGUUUUAGAUUUAGAAAAGAGAGAAAAGGGGAAUAAGUAGGAAAGGGGAAAGGACUUAUCUUCUCCGGCAGAGACGGCGGCGACGCGGCGGAAGCAGCGGCACGAGCGGCGGCCCUUCGGGAUGCCGUUGCUCGACCGGCCGAGGGGGAGAAAGAAGAGCAGGCAGCGGUGCUGUUGAGGUCGUCGCGGCGGCACUGUGGUCGCCGGGGUGACUGCCCACCGCGAGCAGGAAGAGAGAGAGAGAUACCGAGAGGGGAUGGGCCGUGAGGAGGCGCGGCUGCCGUCGAUUCACCGGGACAGGAGCAGGACGACGGCGAUAUGCCGGACCUUCGCCGAUCUCGGGCGGCGGCGGCAGAAACGAGGAGAGGGAGAGAGAUGAGCUGUGUGUGUGUGCGUUUCUUGAAGUGAGAGGGAGAGACGUGAGAGAGGCGAGAGAGAUGAGUGUUGUGUGUGCUGAGUGUGUGUGUUUGUGUAUAUAUGUUAGUAUUAGAUUUUUUUUUUUAAUUUGGGCUUAAGCCCUAUAAUGAGGAUGGGCCGAAAAUUUUAAAAAAAAAAGAGUGGGCCGAUUUUAUUUUAUUUCUGUUGGGCCCAUUUUGCCUUUAAAUCUGAUGGGUUUUUAUUUAAUAGGUUUAGGCCCAAUUUUAAUUAAGUUUUGAGCUGUUAUUUAAAUAUAGGCCUACGAAUUUUGGCCUUAAUUCUAUAAAAAAAAAUGUUUGAUUUUUCACUAAAUUAUUUAGUGAAUUUAAAUCUCUUGAUUUAAAUUUUAAUAUUGGGAGUUGGAUUAUUUAUUCUAAAUGAAGUCCAUUCUAUUAUUUAAAUUAUUAAUGGACUUUAAAGCAAAUAUUUUGGGAUUAAGCCCCAUUUAUUACAUGAUAAAAUUAUUUUCAAAGCUUACGAGUAUGGAUUUUUUUUAAUGGUUAAAAUGUUUUAUUUCAUCUCAAUGGAUUUUAAAAUGUUUUAUUAUUUAUAAAUGAAUAAUGGAAUUUCUUAUUUAUUUACAUAAAAAAAAAUGAAAUGUAUAGAAUAUUAUAAAUAUGGUUUCUUUUAAAAGAAAAAGGAUUAAAUUAUUUUAUGAGUAAUUCCAUUAUAAUGGAAUUAAAAUGUCCUAUUAGAAUGGCUUCAUGUUUUAAAAAAAUAUUGAGACUAUUUAUGUGGAAUUGUGUUAUAGAAUGAUUAAGUAUAUGUAUUUACUUUAUCAAAUGAGCUUGGGAUUUAAUUGAGAUAUUAAAUUGCUAAGCAUAUGUUUAUAAAUGAUUUAUUUAUUUAAAGUGAUGAAAAUGUGNUUUGAAUCCGUUUGUAGAUUUAAAGGAUUAUUGAGUAGUCAAUAAUUAUUAUUUUCGGAUUAUAACUGACUUAGCAAAGUCAUGUUAUUUAAUUUAUAUACGAUAGAAAUAGUAUUUUCUAUUAUUUAAUUGAAGUCAUGAUUAAUUUUUCGACUUAUAAAACGAGUUAUAAAAUAUGUAAUUUGUAGAGAGUUAUAACGAAGCUUCGUUAUAUGGAAACCCGGAAUUAGUAUUACAAAUACGUUAUCAUAUACUUUUCAUUUCCACAUACAUCUAUCUCUUAAAUAAAUUGAUGGUAUUGGAAACACUCAUCAUAUGCAAAUUAUUCCACUAAUUCCACUAAUUCCACUAAACACUCUUUACACUCAUCAUUGCCGGCCAUCUUCUACACUCAUUCCACUAAUAAUCAUUAUUCCACUACCUCCCACUACUACACCCUUUUUCCCCACCAAUACACCUAACUCUCCACACACUUCAUUUUUUUUAUUUCUACACCACUAUAUUCCAUAUUCAGUACUACAUCUUGCAGAUUCCUCAUUAAGAAAUCCUCUCUCUCUAAUCUUCUAAAUUACCAUUUUCUUUCCUCCUACUCCUCACGGGUCCUUCAAAGAAAUUAUCAAGUUUGUUUCAAGUUCCAAAUCAAGAAUCAAGGUGUGUAAAUUUUGUUUAUUUCCUCCAUUUAAUUUUUCGAGGAUUACAUUCUAACACCUAGCAUCAUUUAUGCAGAAGCCACAAAUCCUCAUCUGCCUCUUCAAGGUUAUUUCCAGCAUAAACAACUUCUUUUAGAUUAUUAUUGCUUCAAUUACAUCAUCUUAUCAAGCAUCAGAGGACCACCAACAAACAAACACACACUCAUAAUCAUUAUUUUCACCUAACUAUUACAAUUACAAGGAUUUCAAGAUCUGAUAAAAAGAAAUGAUGAAAGAACAGAAUUUCUAAACAAAAACCCUAACUUUCUAUAUGUGAAUCUGGACUGAAAUUGAGCCUUCUUGUGUCUUUAUUGUGUGUGACCGGGGACGGAGGGAGGAGUGAGAGCAGCCGACGGCUGCUCAGGGCCGGCGACGGCGACGGCUCGGCGGCAAGCCGCCGCCUUUUCUUUUUUCUGUCAGACAUUGGGAGGAGAGGAGAAAGAUUAAUUAAGUUUUAGAUUUAGAAAAGAGAGAAAAGGGGAAUAAGUAGGAAAGGGGAAAGGACUUAUCUUCUCCGGCAGAGACGGCGGCGACGCGGCGGAAGCAGCGGCACGAGCGGCGGCCCUUCGGGAUGCUGUUGCUCGACCGGCCGAGGGGGAGAAAGAAGAGCAGGCAGCGGUGCUGUUGAGGUCGUCGCGGCGGCACUGUGGUCGCCGGGGUGACUGCCCACCGCGAGCAGGAAGAGAGAGAGAGAUACCGAGAGGGGAUGGGCCGUGAGGAGGCGCGGCUGCCGUCGAUUCACCGGGACAGGAGCAGGACGACGGCGAUAUGCCGGACCUUCGCCGAUCUCGGGCGGCGGCGGCAGAAACGAGGAGAGGGAGAGAGAUGAGCUGUGAGUGUGUGUGUGCGUUUCUUGAAGUGAGAGGGAGAGACGUGAGAGAGGCGAGAGAGAUGAGUGUUGUGU